CCUACGGGAGGCUGCAGUGAGGAAUAUUGGUCAAUGGACGAGAGUCUGAACCAGCCAAGUAGCGUGAAGGAUGACUGCCCUAUGGGUUGUAAACUUCUUUUAUAUGGGAAUAAAACGUUCCACGUGUGGGAUUUUGUAUGUACCAUAUGAAUAAGGAUCGGCUAACUCCGUGCCAGCAGCCGCGGUAAUACGGAGGAUCCGAGCGUUAUCCGGAUUUAUUGGGUUUAAAGGGAGCGUAGGUGGAUUGUUAAGUCAGUUGUGAAAGUUUGCGGCUCAACCGUAAAAUUGCAGUUGAAACUGGCAGUCUUGAGUACAGUAGAGGUGGGCGGAAUGCGUGGUGUAGCGGUGAAAUGCUUAGAUAGAACGAAGAACUCCGAUGGCGAAGGCAGUUCACUGGACUGCAACUGACACUGAGGCUCGAAAGUGUGGGUAUCAAACAGGAUUAGAUACCCUUGUAGUC
RNAcentral lists this ribosomal RNA (460 nucleotides) under uncultured bacterium. RNAcentral describes it as "partial 16S ribosomal RNA". It matches the Rfam family "Bacterial small subunit ribosomal RNA", at positions 338 to 795 of the family's 1533-position model. The record is from RNAcentral.